Molecule: ribosomal RNA, 260 nt
Filed under: uncultured bacterium
Lineage: Bacteria
Description: partial 16S ribosomal RNA
Rfam family: Bacterial small subunit ribosomal RNA
Source: RNAcentral
UACGUAGGGUGCGAGCGUUGUCCGGAAGUUAUUGGGCUGGUAAAGGGACGUCGGUAGGCGGUCUGUCACGUCGGGGAGUGAAAACACGGGGCUUAACCCCGUGCCUGCUUCCGAUACGGGCAGACUAGAGGUAUGCAGGGGAGAACGGAAUUCCUGGUGUAGCGGUGAAAUGCGCAGAUAUCAGGAGGAACACCGGUGGCGAAGGCGGUUCUCUGGGCCGAAAUUGACGCUGAGGAGCGAAAGCGUGGGGAGCAAACAGG